UAAGUAGAUGGUGAAAGCCUGGGGCUCAACCCCUUCAACAUCAUUUAAACUGCAUAGCUAGAAUAUGGGAGAGGUACCUGGAAUUCCAAGUGUAGGAGAGAAAUCCGUAGAUAUUUGGAGGAACACCGAUGGCGUAGGCAGGGUACUGGCCUAUUAUUGACACUAAGGCACGAAAGCGUGGGGAGCGAACGGGAUUAGAUACCCCGGUAGUCCACGCUGUAAACUAUGGAUGCUA
Molecule: ribosomal RNA, 235 nt
Filed under: uncultured Candidatus Saccharibacteria bacterium
Lineage: Bacteria; Candidatus Saccharimonadota
Description: partial 16S ribosomal RNA
Rfam family: Bacterial small subunit ribosomal RNA
Source: RNAcentral